Papaver somniferum (opium poppy) is the source of this 877-nucleotide RNA transcript. It is a transcript of the gene named outer envelope pore protein 16-4, chloroplastic-like, with no coding region annotated. The record is from RefSeq and is a predicted model, not a curated record. The transcript is spliced from 7 exons. NCBI's taxonomy places the organism in Eukaryota, Viridiplantae, Streptophyta, Magnoliopsida, Ranunculales, Papaveraceae.
CAGAUACAAUGGAGGAACAAAGAGAUAUUAGGGAUGAUGUUCCUUGUUCUUCUAUCACGGCUGAGUCCGUCGUUCGUUUCGGAACUGGAGGUGCAAUUUGGGGUUUAUGCAUAGGUUUAUAUGAUUCUCGUAAAAAUGGUCUUACUGGUUUUUCCAGAGCUUCCUAUGUGGUAAAAUCAGUUGGUAAAUUGGGGUUACAAUGUGGAGUUUUUGCUGGAAUAUAUACUGGUACACAAUGCGGGGUUGAAAGAUACCGGAGAAAGAAGGACAUGCUAAAUGCUUCAAUUGCUGGUGCUGUAUCUGGGGCAGCUGUCGCCAUCAGGACCAGAAGCUGGACACAAGUAGUUGGCACGGCAGUUCUGGUAUCCGGUAUCACAUCAGCAGCUAAUGUUGCGCGAACAAACUGAUUCAAUUCCUGCUUGAAGAAAACUGUAAGAAGAGAUUCAGUCAAGGUAUGUAUCAGGAUAUUUAAGGCUCAAAUAGAGGCUGCAGACUUGGAUAGUUUUUCAGAGUAGGUGAAAAAGCACACAGAAGAUCUGCGCAAAGUAAUUUUAAUCAAUCGUUGUUUAUCUGUAUGAAGGCCAUGACCAGCAAACUUAUUUGGCUCUGCUGGGAAGAACUCUGUUCCAUAAACAAGUAUUUGAUUGAGAGAGAUACAAUACUUUGAAUUUUGUGGGAAUUGUGGGUCGGCAGGUUCCUUUGUUAAUGCAUGGAAUCACUUAUCACUGUAUAACGUUUCUCUGUGCUCUGGAAAGCAGUAAUCUGCGUAAUAUCGAAUACCUUAUUAAAUCACAGUUGUUUAGAUUGGGGACUUAUCAGUGAAAUGUGUAAUUUUACUGGGCCUUAUUAAAAUUAUUUUUAUUCCUAUUAUAUAAGG